CAGAGCUGUGGAGUGUGACAAUGGUGUUUGUGUCCAAUAUAUCAAACGCCAUUAUCACACUAAAUAGCUACUG
RNAcentral lists this microRNA precursor (73 nucleotides) under Pelodiscus sinensis (Chinese soft-shelled turtle). Its description in RNAcentral is "mir-122 microRNA precursor family". It matches the Rfam family "mir-122 microRNA precursor family". From Rfam's summary of the family: In mammals, miR-122 is enriched in liver cells where it has been implicated as a regulator of fatty-acid metabolism in mouse studies. The hairpin precursors (represented here) are predicted based on base pairing and cross-species conservation -- their extents are not known. Lineage: Eukaryota; Metazoa; Chordata; Testudines; Trionychidae. The record is from Rfam by way of RNAcentral.